RNAcentral lists this non-coding RNA (223 nucleotides) under Clostridiaceae bacterium. Its description in RNAcentral is "T-box sequence". It matches the Rfam family "T-box leader". From Rfam's summary of the family: Uncharged tRNA acts as the effector for transcription antitermination of genes in the T-box leader family. T-boxes are found upstream of many aminoacyl-tRNA synthetase genes and some amino acid biosynthetic genes usually in Gram-positive bacteria. The anticodon of a specific tRNA base pairs to a specifier sequence within the T-box motif, and the NCCA acceptor tail of the tRNA base pairs to a conserved bulge in the T-box antiterminator hairpin. The record is from RNAcentral. Lineage: Bacteria; Bacillati; Bacillota; Clostridia; Eubacteriales; Clostridiaceae.
UUAAAAGCUAGGAAUAGGACAUGUGGGUCUUUAAUCGGUCACAGAGAAAAAACACCUUGGCUGGAAGUGUUUUUGGCAUAUCUUAGAGACUUGUACCACCUUGGAGCUGUUAUUCUGAAAUUUUAGUAGGGAUAGCCGGUAAGCUGCCGUUAUAGCUAUUAAGCAGGGGGGAUUAAUCUCCCAACUUAGGUGGAACCGCGGGAAGUUACUUCUCGUCCUAUAU